UAAUAGGUGGGAACACCAUCUGGGCGGGUAUGGCAAGGGAACUUCAGAUGCGGUCUGCUGGGGGUCUCAGGGUUCGGGUUGGAAGGAGCUAGAGAUCUGUUUGCACCAAUAGGUCCCACACACAGAAGUGGGCAACAUGUGGUUAUGUACUGGCUAAAGUGGCCCAAGAUCAUUUGGCUCGGGACCUGCAACACUCCAACUCUGCACAAUCCCUGAACUGUGACUUCUUUCUAGAGCCUAACGUAGGUUAAGGGUUCCACCACCCCACCGAAAAAAGCUGGCAGAGCCACGGGCAUCUAUGGAAAAUCUGACCCUCCUCUCCGGUCCCUCCUGCCUAAAGAUGACGUCCAGACAAUUCCAGGCUGACUCCGCAGGUGGAGAGCCAGUCAGCAGCUACCCUGCACUGGAUCAUUUGAUAACUUCUCGGAACUUCAGUUCCUCCCGGAGCUGGUAUCCGUAAACCACAAGCCCCGACACUUCUUCUCCAACCUCCAACCACUUAAUCGUGGUUUUGGCUGGGUCAGCGUAUGAACCCCAUAACCUCAGAAAUGGAGUAGGUGAAGGCCUUUAUCUGUUGUUCCUGGGGGCGAAGGCCAAGUUCACUGGGUGCAGCUGGCGGCACGGGAGCUGAUAACGCUCUCGAAGAAACCCAGAUGUCUUCGCCGCCUUUCGGAGUGGGGCCUCAUCCGCUCCCCUCUGGUGUCA
Molecule: non-coding RNA, 705 nt
Organism: Peromyscus maniculatus bairdii (prairie deer mouse)
Lineage: Eukaryota; Metazoa; Chordata; Mammalia; Rodentia; Cricetidae
Source: RefSeq, a predicted model, not a curated record